AAAACUUUUCCAAAAGAAAAGAAAAAUCUGUUCUUAUCAGUUUAAUAUCUGAUACGUCCCCUAUCUGGGGACCAUAUAUUAAAUUGAUUUUUGGAAUAGGGAGAUGGAAUAGGGGCUUGCUCCGUCCACUCCACGCAUCGACCUGGUAUUGCAGUACCUCCAGGAACGGUGCACCCCCU
Molecule: small nuclear RNA, 179 nt
Filed under: Oncorhynchus mykiss (rainbow trout)
Lineage: Eukaryota; Metazoa; Chordata; Actinopteri; Salmoniformes; Salmonidae
Description: U2 spliceosomal RNA (ENSOMYG00000000758.2)
Rfam family: U2 spliceosomal RNA
About the family: U2 is a small nuclear RNA (snRNA) component of the spliceosome (involved in pre-mRNA splicing). Complementary binding between U2 snRNA (in an area lying towards the 5' end but 3' to hairpin I) and the branchpoint sequence (BPS) of the intron results the bulging out of an unpaired adenosine, on the BPS, which initiates a nucleophilic attack at the intronic 5' splice site, thus starting the first of two transesterification reactions that mediate splicing.
Source: RNAcentral